This 464-nucleotide ribosomal RNA is filed under the name uncultured bacterium. RNAcentral describes it as "bacterial SSU rRNA". It matches the Rfam family "Bacterial small subunit ribosomal RNA", at positions 328 to 793 of the family's 1533-position model. The record is from RNAcentral.
UUGCCAGACUCCUACGGGAGGCAGCAGCGGGGAAUAUUGCACAAUGGGGGGAACCCUGAUGCAGCGACGCCGCGUGGGUGAAGGAGCACCUCGGUGCGUAAAGCCCUAUCGGCAGGGAAGAAAAGCGAACAGGUUCGCCUGGACGGUACCUGACUAAGAAGCCCCGGCUAACUACGUGCCAGCAGCCGCGGGAAUACGUAGGGGGCAAGCGUUAUCCGGAUUCACUGGGUGUAAAGGGAGCGUAGACGGCGGUGCAAGUCCGGAGUGAAAGCCCGGGGCUCAACCCUGGGACUGCUCUGGAAACUGUAAAGCUGGAGUGCGGGAGGGGCAGGCGGAAUUCCUGGUGUAGCGGUGAAAUGCGUAGAUAUCAGGAGGAACACCGGCGGCGAAGGCGGCCUGCUGGACCGUAACUGACGUUGAGGCUCGAAAGCGUGGGGAGCAAACAGGAUUAGAUACCCUCGUAC